UGGACAUUUCUGGCAUUGGGUAUCAUCUUACUUUACCAUGUGACUAGAGAAAAAAGGAGCAGAAGCUAAGUAUGUCAAAGGAAAUCACUGAAAGAUUACAAAGGUAGUGAAGAAUGAACAUACUGAACCACCAUCAGGUCUCAACAAAACUUCCUGUGGUGAAAAACAGAUUUGCCAUUUUUGCUUGCAUCCACAGUCCUGUAUUCUUGUAUUCUUAAAUAGUAGCUUGAAAUAAAUAGAACCAUUGGAACUCAGUGAAUGAAACAUUAUUUAAUCCUCAGUUUUUACUUAUACACUAGCCAAAUUCCUUUUCAUUUGUGCAAGAGUAAGGACAGAACAAAGCCCUAAAGUUUUGGCAGUACUAUUUGUUAAAUACAGACUUAACCUCCAUGUUUGUACUGCAGUGAUGCUUAAAUUUCUGUUAACUACAAAGAGAGGAAGAAAGUGGUGGAUGCUUGUUUUUAUUCAGUCCCUGCAAUUAAGCAAAAACUAAACACAGAAGAUCUAAGACAUCUGGAAAGAGGUGAGGUAAUGACUGGACAUGUUCUGUGGUGUCUGAAGCAGCAAUGCAGGGGAUUAUUGGUAAGAGCAAGCUAAGAGCUGCAAAAGAGAGGUCCUUUAAGAGCCAAACCAAUCAACUCUGGGGCAAGAGAGAAGGAAAAUAUAUGAAGGGAUAACCAGGAUGAAGAUUAUGGAGAUGAAGUGUGAAGUUUCAUGCUGUCUAAAGUGAAGAUGGACCCAGCCAUCUUAUUUGAAGCAGAGGCAACACUUGGUUGGCCUUGGAUCUGCCUCCCCGCUCCUGGAUGUCUGGGUAAGAACUGUGCUGUCUGACCCUGACCAGUCUCUGGACUCGAUCCUUACCCAGACUUGCUUUGCAUCCUGCUUCUUGGUCAGUGGGCUCACUGAUUUCACUGGAACCACGGUCAUGUUCAGCUCAUAAUUCAUCUUCCCAUGCAGAGCAGCCAGCCCUCACUGUUCCUGAAAACCAUCGAGUACAAGCUAUCAAAGUCAGUCAGUUUGGAAGUCUGAGCCAAUGAUGCCUUUGUUGUUUGAGCUGAUGGUGACUUUGUUGUAGAUGAUAAACACGAAGCUCUGACAUCUCUAAUAUGAGGGAUGAACUAUCACAUCGCUAUAUCCACCAUCAGCUGCAUUUGGAAAUGGAUCCAGGUCUUCACCUUCUACACUUGCGAAUACAGGAGUUUCAAAGAAUUUUCCACGAUGUCCAAAAUCAUGAGAUGUCUGGGAAGUUAAAAAAGAGUCACCAAAGCUUGCUUAGUUUUCUGCUUUAAACCAAACUACUUGGAACCCCAUGACUGAAUGCAAUAGCUGUCAAAAGUUGCUGACUAUCUCUAUAUCCCUUGGUGUAUCUGAAGGCAAUUAUAUUUUCUACUGAUGAUGUAGUUUUCCAGAUCAGCAGAUGUUGGACUGCAUCAGGCUUUUCUUUCUGGAGAGAAUUUUGAGGAUCCUGAUGUCAUCAGAACAUCCAACUUGAAGUUUACUCAAAAAUAUCUUACCAAAAUUUGUGAGUGGGAAACACAGUUUCCUUUCAUUGGAGGCUGAACAGUGACCAUGACAUGAUUCUUCUUACCAUGGAUGGAAUAGCUGGCUCCUUGAGCUUCCUCACAGCCUUGUUUUUCUGUUAUUCUCUCUUAAGUCCUACCAAAUGUAUUAAUUUCCUUCCUAAUCCCAUAUUCAUAUAAUUAGCUGAUUUUUAACAAUGAGUUUAUAUGUCUUAAUAUUGACACUGAUUAAACUCCUACUUAUAUACUACCUGUUGAUAUAACACUGAAUUAAAUUCUGGGAUGCUAAUAAGAUAAAUUUCCAGGUAAAUAGGAAAGGGACACUUUAAACUGUGAGAAGCUAGACAUGGAACAUUAUUCAGGCCAAUUGCAUAUUCAGGGUGUUUUGAGGCCACCUCUACAGAUUACAAUCAGUGGAAAAUUUUCACAAUUGGUCUCCUGGAUUUUUAGAUUUCCUACAUCUGUUCUGGUCUAGCUGUAAGCAUUUAAUAUACAUGUGCAUCUUCCUUCUGACCAUUAAGCUUAUUUCUUAAGGUUAUCCUGUUUCUGCCCAUCAAUGUGGCUCUCCUGCACUUGGCAUCUUCUUUUUGCUUGUGUCGCCUCAGACAACAAUUUCUCCUUGACUAUGUAUUUUU
This is a non-coding RNA of Anas platyrhynchos (mallard), 2155 nucleotides long. NCBI's taxonomy places the organism in Eukaryota, Metazoa, Chordata, Aves, Anseriformes, Anatidae. The record is from RefSeq and is a predicted model, not a curated record.